AUUUUCUUCUCCUUUCCCCUUUCUUCUUUUCCAUCACGCGACCCCCAACCUCUCGUUUCUGCUUCUCUUCACGCCGCCAACACCCACACAGCCGCUGCCACCAUCCGACGAGCGGAGGCACCGUCGAGUUUGCCAGAUCUGAAAUCGUUCACCGGCGUCGCUUCCCUCAGACGUCGCCCAGCCCUCAUCCGCCAGUCGCGACCAUCUGCUCCAGCCCAGCCGCACGUCAAAUCUAAAGGCCCAAUCGCGAGCGUCCCUCGCGCCACAGCACUCGCAGCCUCUAGUCGUACGUCCGCUUAGAUCUGAAGCAUGGUUGUUCGCGUCCGCCAUUCGCGAGCCUGCCAAAUGCCGCCCGAAGCCACUGCAUCACUUUCUUCUUUACGUCCUCCGUCCAGCCACUACUUAAGCAUCGUUCACUCUUGCCAUCACCGAAUCUAUUGAUUUGGUUUUGGAGAAGCUUUGAAGUUAAAAGUGUGCUGUCAAGAAGAUUUGGAAGUGGUUUCAACAUGCUUUUGGUUGUGAUAUAAAAGGUUGGAAUUGAAGGUUCAAAGCAGCUGUCCAUCGAGAUUAAAGGUUGGAUUUGUGACUAGAGUUGUUGGGAUGUAUUGAUUUUAUAGCAUGAGGUGAUGUUCGGAUCAACACACUUGGGUAAGAUUAUUAGGAAUUAUUUGGUUAAUUUGAUUAUUGGAACUAAGCUCUUAUUAUUAAUUGUAAAUUUGGAUUAUGUUUAGGUCUGAUUCAAGAUUUAUCUAAGCUAGGAGGAAGAUUAAUUUGCUUGUCACUUAGACAUAAUUUUAAGUAAGUAAUCUUACUACUGGAAUUGCCCACGGGCCAGACACUAGAUAUAUGCUAGCAUAUUAAAUUAAUAUCAGAACAGAACGAUAGCAUGAUAAACGGAUAGUAUAGUAUGACCGAUAUAUGUUCUAGUAUGAGAAUCUGAAAGAUUUAUUUGUGCAUGUAGACACUUGCAUGCUAGUAAGAGAUGAUACUUGAUUCACUGAGGUUGUAUUUGAUAUGAGGAUAUUGAGGCGUAUAUGCAUGUUAUAUAGCCAUGAUGUUGAGGUGUA
Molecule: long non-coding RNA, 1067 nt
Organism: Benincasa hispida (wax gourd)
Lineage: Eukaryota; Viridiplantae; Streptophyta; Magnoliopsida; Cucurbitales; Cucurbitaceae
Source: RefSeq, a predicted model, not a curated record